This 820-nucleotide ribosomal RNA is filed under the name uncultured bacterium. RNAcentral's name for it is "bacterial SSU rRNA". It matches the Rfam family "Bacterial small subunit ribosomal RNA", at positions 1 to 856 of the family's 1533-position model. The record is from RNAcentral.
UUAGAGUUUGAUCAUGGCUCAGAACGAACGCUGGCGGCAUGCCUAAUAUAUGCAAGUCGAACGCUCACCGGGUUUCGGCCGGGUGGGAGUGGCGGACGGGUGAGUAGCGCGUGGGAACCUGCCCUGUUGUGGGGGAUAACCGAGGGAAACUUCGGCUAAUACCGCAUACGCCCGGAGUGAUCCGGGGAAAGAUUGAUCGCAGCAGGAGGGGCCCGCGUCGGAUUAGGUAGUUGGUGGGGUAACGGCCUACCAAGCCGGUGAUCCGUAGCUGGUCUGAGAGGAUGAUCAGCCACACUGGGACUGAGACACGAGCUAGACUCCUACGGGAGGCAGCAAUGGGGAAUAUUGGACAAUGGGCGCAAGCCUGAUCCAGCAAUGCCGCGUGAGUGAUGAAGGCCUUAGGGUUGUAAAGCUCUUUCGGCGGGGACGAUGAUGACGGUACCCGCAGAAGAAGCCCCGGCUAACUUCGUGCCAGCAGCCGCGGUAAUACGAAGGGGGCGAGCGUUGUUCGGAUUUACUGGGCGUAAAGGGCGCGUAGGCGGCGGUCCAAGUCGAGUGUGAAAGCCCCGGGCUCAACCUGGGAGGUGCGCUCGAGACUGGUUCGCUGGAGUUCGGGAGAGGAGCGUGGAAUUCCCAGUGUAGAGGUGAAAUUCGUAGAUAUUGGGAAGAACACCGGUGGCGAAGGCGGCGCUCUGGACCGAGACUGACGCUGAGGCGCGAAAGCGUGGGGAGCAAACAGGAUUAGAUACCCUGGUAGUCCACGCUGUAAACGAUGUGUGCUAGACGUUGGGGAGCCUAGCUCUUCGGUGUCGCCGCUAAC